GAGCUUUCCAGAAAUCAACCCGCCGUCCGGGUUUGAUGUUUUUACGCGUCAGACCUUCGGUUUAUACGCAUAAUUACGUAUAAGCCCUCGGUUUUCGCGGAUAGGCCCUAAAAGUUUUGUUUUUCUCACAGAAAAGUCCCUGGAUCUUGUUUUAAUCAUAUCUUUUGCAUCUUAACUCCGUUUUUCGCGUUCUUUAUAUCCACGUGUUCGUUUUAAAGCGUAGAUCA
Molecule: long non-coding RNA, 227 nt
Filed under: Setaria italica (foxtail millet)
Lineage: Eukaryota; Viridiplantae; Streptophyta; Magnoliopsida; Poales; Poaceae
Description: long non-coding RNA (SITA_LNC005752)
Source: RNAcentral